This 333-nucleotide ribosomal RNA is filed under the name uncultured Streptococcus sp. RNAcentral describes it as "bacterial SSU rRNA". It matches the Rfam family "Bacterial small subunit ribosomal RNA", at positions 1049 to 1382 of the family's 1533-position model. The record is from RNAcentral. Lineage: Bacteria; Bacillati; Bacillota; Bacilli; Lactobacillales; Streptococcaceae.
UUGUCGUCAGCUCGUGUCGUGAGAUGUUGGGUUAAGUCCCGCAACGAGCGCAACCCCUAUUGUUAGUUGCCAUCAUUCAGUUGGGCACUCUAGCGAGACUGCCGGUAAUAAACCGGAGGAAGGUGGGGAUGACGUCAAAUCAUCAUGCCCCUUAUGACCUGGGCUACACACGUGCUACAAUGGUUGGUACAACGAGUUGCGAGUCGGUGACGGCGAGCUAAUCUCUUAAAGCCAAUCUCAGUUCGGAUUGUAGGCUGCAACUCGCCUACAUGAAGUCGGAAUCGCUAGUAAUCGCGGAUCAGCACGCCGCGGUCGAAUACGUUCCCGGGCCUU